GAGAAGUGAAAUAUCAGUUGGGAACGACCUGUGCUGAAAUCGGAGCGAAAACAGAAGAUUUAGAAUUUUCUGUUGGAAACGGGACUGAUAAAUUAGCAGAAAAUGUACAGUCUCAGAAAAUUAUGAAAAUUGGCGGGGAUGUCAGAAAUAUUUUUAUGAGGCUAGAUUUAAAGUUUCAUAUUUUUCUGACACCCGUAGAGUGAGAAAUAAAAUCCGAAAGCUAUCUGAUAAAGAUUGCAGUUCGGCACAGUUUUCGGUGACCAAACGAAGUCGAAACUGAAAACUUAAUAUAUAUUCUUGUUCAGUACGUUAAACCGAACAUGACUGUCAAAUUUGAGCUCAAACGGAUAUUCAGAGAGCUCCGGCGAAAGAUAUCAGAUUUGGAGCUGCCUGAUGUGAAUAGUGUAUGCUACUAUUGAGGUGUUGACUAUAAGUAGAAGCUACUAGGCUUCUUCCUCCUCAAGCUGCAGCCAGCACCAAGCAUCACACGCACAUGGUGAAGGAGAGAGAAACCCUCUCUUUCUCUCUCUAAAUAUCUCUCUCAUCUCUCUAUAUUUCUCGCCCAAAUUCGCGGCGUUGGUGGAGAUCGAGCUUGCGAACGCGUUGGAGGCGACGGAUUGAGCUUUCGUGCGCCCGUUGGAGCGGCGUGUUUUCGUUGCGGCGUUCACGUUGGGGUAAGCUUUUGGGAUUUGGCUUAAUCCUUAGCAUUAAGUGUUCUAUUAGCCUCUAAUGAGCUUUGUUGGCAUGUUGAUCCAUUUAAUUUGGAUUAUUUGGAGGUUAAUUGUACGUUAGGGCUCCGAAUGGGGUUUUGUAAAAUAUAAGGGUUUGAUCUCAUUUGACCUUUCGUAAACCUAAUUGCUAGGUAACGAAACGCGUUGGCGAAGACGGUUCGGUAAUCCGACGAGCCGUUACAAAGUUAUUAAAGAAAUAGACGUUUAGGCUUCGGGUCCGCCGGGAGGGCCGAGGCGACGUCGUAAAAUCAUGGAAAUGGAUUUGAGGCAUCGUGGCACAUAACCGAAGACCUAUAAUUUUCGGGGCUGCGAAGCGGAGCACGGUUGAGGCGCAGUUGCAGUAUCGGGCCGUGCCGGGUGCCGAGUGCCGCGGGAGGCCGAUUGCAAGUGUCGACAAGCAAUCGGAACGCGAGUUAAGGUGGGUUGUGCUUACCGAAGCGACUAGGUCGCCCUUUAUGUCUUAGCAAUGUAAUCUCAUGUUGAUGCAUGUGCAUGUAGACAAGAGCAAGGAUGCAUGUUAAUAAAGAUGCAUAAAGUAGAUGCUAAGUAGAAAGCAUGAUAAAUGGUAAUGCUUAGAGCAAAUGCAUAUUAAUAACAAUGCAUAGUGGAGCAUAAUGAUUAUGGCAUUAGAUAAUGCUAGCUAAUGUAAAGUAAUGCAUGAUAAUGAUAAUGCAUAGAUGAAAAUGCUUAGUAGAAAUGCAUGGUGAGCAAGUUACACAAUGCUAAUAAUGCAUGAUAAUAAUGUAAUGCUAAGUAAUGCAUGAUAUGAAGUAAAUGCAUAUUAAUAAUAAUGCAUGAUGAGGAUGCUAAGUAAGGGAUGCAUGUUAGUAAUGAUGCAAAGAGUAAUUGCUAAGUAGAAAGCAUGAUGCAUGGUAUAUGUAUAUAAACCAGAUGAUAACUCUAGGAUGAGUAGAGAUGACUGGACAACUAAGUUGUCAGGUAGAUCGAGUGGCAUCUAACCUAGUGUUAAAGAACAUAGGUUGGUUAGUAAACCUAGAGUUGAACAAUCUAGGUGUGUGGCAUCUAACCUAGUGUUAGUAAACCUAGGUUGAACUAGUAAACCUAGAAGUGGAUAUCUAGGCAAAGAUGAUAAGAACCUAGCAAGUGUAUCUAGGUUAAGUGAUGUGGACAUAGAACCUAGAGUGUUGGAACCUAGGUUGAUGAGUAUAGUGGUAUAGCCACUAGAUUGAGCUAGGUCGACAGUAUAGGGUUGGCUAUGAACCCUCGACCUGUGGUAAGUGGAUUCCGGAAUCCCAGGACUUAUGAUGUCCCUGGUACAGGCUAGGGCGUUCGUGCGACGAUUUCGCCGCCGAGCUUGGUACCGUGGGUAGAUUGGGGGCGAUCACAUGGAGAUCACCGCCCGGGGCUUGAACCAUUGUGCUGGCGUUUGUGCGACGAUUUCGCCGCCAGAGUGGUUAAGCCAUUUGAGGAUCAGACCGCCAGAGUAGACUGAAUCCAUGCUGGGUAAGUACGAUGCGGGUGCCUCCAGGUGACUGAGUCUGACAUGAUCGUUGUUGGGUGUGGUGCGACCCGUUCGCCGCCAGACGGUAUGUCAUGUCUCGAGCUCACGCUGGGUAUGUGCAACGCGAUCGCCACCGAUGGUCAAGUCUUGUGACUCGAGCCGUAUUCAGCGUGUGCGACGAUUUCGCCGCUAGGAGGCUGAGUCAGAGAGAGUGCGGUAGGCUGUUGAGCAGCCAGUGCGCGGACUAUCCGCAGAUGAUUGACUCGAAGCCGAGUCGGGUGGUUAGCUAUGAUAGGGUAGAGGAACCCUUAUGAGCCAGAGAUAGAGGCUUGAGCUAAGGUAAUAGAAACCUUAGAAGCCAGUGGUUGGUGUUGUGAUCCUAAGGUAAUAGAAACCUUAGAGUAAAGUUAUGAGCUAAAGUAGCCAAGUAAAAGUAGAAUUCAUAUGAUCUACUAGUUGUUGCAUGGUUUUCAUAUCGCAUAUCGUGAGGCAUGGCAUGUAUUUCAAUUGAAUAUAUAUAUCUGUUGUAUAUUGUUGAACUAACAUGUUGCAGUGCCUCCUCGGACCUAUCGGUCGAGCUUUUCCCUUGGGUGGCCGUACCCACUGGGAACCAUGGAGUUGGUUCUCACCCCACGUUGUUUCGGGGUGUUUUCAGGUUGUACAUGUGCGGCGCGACGGCGCGAGGCGAGGGCGUAGCUCAGUAGAUAGCGCCCUGCCACAGAGACCGAGGUAGAAGUACCCUGAGGCAGUCUAGCUUAGGGGACUAGAAGACAAGGAAAAAUAAAAUGUAUUAAACUCGUAAACCCUAAUGUGAUGAGAUUGUAAUCUGGAAGUAAAAAUGCAAAUAAAAACUGUGAUGUAAAAGUGAAUGAAUGCUUGUAAUAGCUAGUAGUUUAUGUAUUUGAUACUUCCUUAUGCAAUCUUGAUUGAUAUCCGUUCCUGGUUGGAACAUCUCUAUAUUGUUUGGAUUGCGACGCCUAGAAUGUACUGGGGAGACUCUGUCCGCGUACAGGGGAAACCCCGGCCCGUCCGGCGGUCUGUUAGCGGCGCCGCGACUCGGUCCAAAUUGGCGGUUGGUCGCGGGGCGUGACAAUUCAAGUGGUAUUAGCUUUUGGCUUAAGGUGAUUGUGUUGGCGGCCGACAACACGAUGCCGAAAGUCAGGAACGAGUACACUUACAAGCUACCGCCUNAUUCAAGUGGUAUUAGCUUUUGGCUUAAGGUGAUUGUGUUGGCGGCCGACAACACGAUGCCGAAAGUCAGGAACGAGUACACUUACAAGCUACCGCCUGAUUGAUGCUAUUUAAACGCUUAUAUUUCGCAAAUUGCGACGACGACGUUGUUGGUUAAGUAACAAACCAACUGUUUGCGUUUCAGGGCCAAUGGCACCAAGGGGACGCCCUAGGACGAGAUACGCUCCGGCACCGCCUCCUGAGGUGCCCGAGCAGGCCGAGCCGAGCGUGAUCGAUCGGCUGCAGGCGCAGGUGAUGGCGUUGACCGAUGUUAUAAUAUACCAGAUUUUGGUAUAAAAAUAAAAGUAAACAAAAAUAUUGUGAGAUACUAUUUUUAUUGGUUUUUGAGAAACAAAGUAUAAGUCUAUAAUGACUUGUGCUGAAAUCGGAAUGAAAACAGAAGAUUUAUAAUUUUCUGUUGAAAACGGGGUGGAUAAAUUAGCAGAAAAUGCACAGUGUCAGAAAAUUAUGAAAAUUUGACGGAUCAGUCAGAAUUAUUUUUAUGAGGCUAGAUUUAAAGUUUCAUACCAUUCCGACAUCCGUAGAGAGAGAAAUAAAAUCCGAAAGCUAUCUGAUAAAGAUUACAAUUCGGUACAGUUUUCAGUGACCAAACGGAGUCGAAACUAAAAUAUUAAAAUUUUUUUGGACUCAGUACGUAAAACCGAGCCUGCCUGUCAAGUUUGAGCUCAAACGGACAUUCAGAAGGGCUCCGGCGAAAAAAAUGUCAGUUUUAAGCCUCCCUGGAGUGAAUAGUGUUCUUGGAAGCUUCUUAUGAAACUUGGAGAGCAAGUUUCCUCUCUAUGUAUAUAUAGGACUUGGGCUUUCUUUCCUCUCAUUAUUCACACUCACAACCAAAAAAAAAAAUCUCUCUCUACACCAAAGAGAGGAUUGGAGAAGAAAAGAAAGAAAAAUUGAAGCAAGCUUGGAGAAGAUUAGAGUAGCUUGAAGUUGAAGCUCUCUCUAAUGGUGGAGGCAAGCUUUCCAAUGGUGGAUUUAGCUUGAUGUGAAUGGUGGUCUAAGGUGAGAUCUCAUAAUUUAAGCUAGGAUUUGGUUUAAUCCUUAAUGCUUAGUGUUCCAAUAGCCUCUAAUGUGUUGAUUAGCAUGUUAAAUCCAUUUAAUUUGGGUUAAUUGGAGCAUGUGUAGAGGCUAGGUUUAUAAUGAUAGAUCUUUAGAGCUUUAAUUAUAUGCUCUAAGAUUGGAUUUAGAGGAAUCCUUAGAUGCUAAAUGGAUGACUAUUGCAUGAAUUAAGGGAUUAUAUGAUGAAUUCUUGCAAUAGUGUAUCUUAGGGCUCGAAAAUUGAGUUUUGUAAAAUAGUAGGGUUUGAUAUCAUUUGUCCUAAUUGCUAGGUAAACGAACGCGUUGGCGAAGUCGGUUCGGCGAUUCGUCGAGCCGUUACGAAGUUAUUAAAGAAACGGACGUUUAGGCUUCGGGUCCGCCGGGAGGGCCGAGGCGACGACAUAAAAUCGUGGAAAUGGAUUUGAGGCACCGUGGUAGCGUGGCGAAGAGCUUCUGCACUUGAAACGGCGAAGCGGCGAGCUCUUGGAGUGCGAUCAUGAGAUCAGGCCCAAACGGAUGCCGAGUGCCGCGGGAGGCCGAUUGCAAGUGACGACAAGUAAUCGGAGAGCCAUUUAAGGUGGGUUGUGUUUACCGAAGCGACUAGGUCGCCUCUAUGUCUAAGAGUAAAGGUUUCAUAUUGAUGCAUGUAGUGGUAGCCAAUGAUAGAAUGUAUAAAUGCAUGGAAAGAAUACUAUAUGGGCUACCAAAUAAUGCAUGUGGUCAUAAUGUGAGAAUGCUAAGUAAUGCUUAAUGAUGUAGUGUAAAUGAUGCUAAGUGGAAAGCAUAAAGUAG
This 5271-nucleotide long non-coding RNA is filed under the name Ananas comosus (pineapple). RNAcentral's name for it is "long non-coding RNA (ACOM_LNC041829)". The record is from RNAcentral. Lineage: Eukaryota; Viridiplantae; Streptophyta; Magnoliopsida; Poales; Bromeliaceae.